AAACAGCCAAUCACAAGACGUUAUAACUCUGAUUGUAAAGUAACAACGACCACAAUAUAUUAAUCCGAUAAUAUUUUACUCAAUAAAAAUUAAAAAUACUAUCAAUGGUCAUUGGGUCAAUACUGAGUCUGAUACAUACGUUAAAGAACUAAUUUUGGAUCUACCGAAAAUCGUGAAAUACUGAAACAUUUUAUCAAGAAAUAACAUCAUAGAAUAAUAGCUAAAAUCAUGAACCAUAGAAGAGAAGAAAAAAGAGAAUACUUGGAGUUUCCAGAAGGUGAUGUCACUGUGGCAUAGAGCUGUACAAAUGAUUCGGAUCCGAACCUCGUGAGGCUGCGGCGGCGCAACCAGGAUUUCUUCCAUCACUAGUGGCUCUCCGGCCUUCCUACAAACCGCCGCUGCCAUAGAAACAUAAAAGUCAACGCUAGUCAAUGAACGACACUUAUAGAUAGAGGGCCUUUCUUUCCUCUACACUAACCUUUGCAACGGAUCGGUUUAAGUGAAGACUUGUCGCCGGAGGACUUGUUGUUUUCCAUCUCUCUUCCUAGUUUUGCAGCUUUGGCCUUUGUGAGUCUAGUGCGUUGCUGUAUUAUGUCUGUAUAUAAACUUGUUCUCUAGAUUUAUUACCAUUUUUGUCGUUGUAAUAUUUAAUACAUUUCUUUUCUGUUUGUGUU
This is a long non-coding RNA of Brassica rapa (field mustard), 674 nucleotides long. RefSeq lists it as uncharacterized. NCBI's taxonomy places the organism in Eukaryota, Viridiplantae, Streptophyta, Magnoliopsida, Brassicales, Brassicaceae. The record is from RefSeq and is a predicted model, not a curated record.